UUAUAUUAUAUACCAUGUAUUUAAUUUAUGUUUGCUAAAAGAAUAGUAUUCAAAACAAAACAAGCACCGAUUGGACAGGACCAUUAUUGGGGGGACCAAACGGUUGCGUUAACAGUUAUGCCACUUGCCAAAAUAUUCAUAACAAAAUAAUGUGACCUGUUAAGCUCCAGCUCAGUCGCAGUGUCAGUGUGCGCAAUCAAUGCAUGUGAUCCCGUAUUUCCUUCAAAGAAUUAAAUAAAAUAGCCCUUUAAAUAAUUAAUUGCUUUCGGCCAUUUAUGGAAAGUUGUCACGUUGUCUCAGUCACUGAAAGACCCCACGAAAAGUCCUCUUUGUCAGCUCUGCUCUUAUCCUCCUUUAGCUUUCACACUCCCAAUCAAAACUGUCCAUAAAAUAUUUCUUUUUUUUUUCUUCUUAAUUUGAGAUAUUCGAUGUAUGAGAUAUUUAUUUAUUAUUGUUAUU
RNAcentral lists this long non-coding RNA (459 nucleotides) under Citrus x clementina. Its description in RNAcentral is "Citrus clementina (C. clementina) long non-coding RNA (CCLE_LNC000566)". The record is from RNAcentral. Lineage: Eukaryota; Viridiplantae; Streptophyta; Magnoliopsida; Sapindales; Rutaceae.